This 397-nucleotide ribosomal RNA is filed under the name uncultured bacterium. RNAcentral describes it as "partial 16S ribosomal RNA". It matches the Rfam family "Bacterial small subunit ribosomal RNA", at positions 523 to 918 of the family's 1533-position model. The record is from RNAcentral.
AUACGUAGGUGGCAAGCGUUGUCCGGAAUUAUUGGGCGUAAAGCGCGCGCAGGCGGUCCUUUAAGUCUGAUGUGAAAGCCCACGGCUCAACCGUGGAGGGUCAUUGGAAACUGGGGGACUUGAGUGCAGAAGAGGAAAGUGGAAUUCCAAGUGUAGCGGUGAAAUGCGUAGAGAUUUGGAGGAACACCAGUGGCGAAGGCGACUUUCUGGUCUGUAACUGACGCUGAGGCGCGAAAGCGUGGGGAGCAAACAGGAUUAGAUACCCUGGUAGUCCACGCCGUAAACGAUGAGUGCUAAGUGUUAGGGGGUUUCCGCCCCUUAGUGCUGCAGCUAACGCAUUAAGCACUCCGCCUGGGGAGUACGGACGCAAGACUGAAACUCAAAUGAAUUGACGGGG